UACGUAGGGGGCUAGCGUUGUCCGGAAUCAUUGGGCGUAAAGAGCGUGUAGGCGGCUUGGUAAGUCCGCUGUGAAAGUCCAGGGCUCAACCCUGGAAUGCCAGUGGAAACUGUCAAGCUAGAGUCCGGAAGAGGCGAGUGGAACUCCUGGUGUAGCGGUGAAAUGCGCAGAUAUCAGGAAGAACACCAAUGGCGAAGGCAGCUCGCUGGGACGGUACUGACGCUGAGACGCGAAAGCGUGGGGAGCAAACAGG
Molecule: non-coding RNA, 253 nt
Filed under: uncultured bacterium
Lineage: Bacteria
Also listed under: 2 other names
Description: partial 16S ribosomal RNA
Rfam family: Bacterial small subunit ribosomal RNA
Source: RNAcentral